Molecule: non-coding RNA, 91 nt
Organism: Mycena leptocephala
Lineage: Eukaryota; Fungi; Basidiomycota; Agaricomycetes; Agaricales; Mycenaceae
Source: the annotation of a GenBank genome assembly
AGCAGUAUGGUGUAAUGGUGCACACGGGAUUUUAUUGCGACUUGGAAGAUGGGUUAUUCCCGAGGUCCUUGUUCGGAUCAAGGUACUGCUU